This 66-nucleotide transfer RNA is filed under the name Prosadenoporus spectaculum. Its description in RNAcentral is "tRNA-His". Lineage: Eukaryota; Metazoa; Nemertea; Enopla; Monostilifera; Prosorhochmidae. The record is from RNAcentral.
GCAAUAAUAGUUUAAAACUAAAAAUGUAGAUUUGUGGUGUCUGAGAUGCAAGUUUUGUUUAUUGUA